RNAcentral lists this long non-coding RNA (714 nucleotides) under Rattus norvegicus (Norway rat). RNAcentral describes it as "long non-coding RNA NONRATT004068". The record is from RNAcentral. Lineage: Eukaryota; Metazoa; Chordata; Mammalia; Rodentia; Muridae.
GCAUCCAGCUGCGGUUUGGUAAUGACUGGAGUGACGUGUACGGAUCCCGGUCACUAAAAUAUAAAGAGUUCCUUCUGGAGGAUGGAGAGCACGUGACACAGGUGAGCGGCACCAGAAAGCUCUGCCUGACUUCCCUGAGCUUCACUACUAACAAGGAGCGAGCGCUCACCUUUGGUGUUAGAACAGGCCGCUCCUUUGAUGACAGUGGUGGUUCUGACAAGCAUCUAGUGACUGUCAAUGGUACACACACACCAGGCCUCUGCAUCACAGGGAUGGGCUUCAAAUGGGAAGUUAAUACAAAGGACUUGAAGGCCACCGAGCCUCCGAGAGAGCCAGUGGGUAGCUCUGAGGCUUCCGACAAGAAGGAAGAUGAAGGCAGAGACAAUGAUGAUGUUGAUGACGAAGACAAUAACAAAGAUGGUGAUGAUGGUGAUGAUGGUGAUGAUGGUGAUGAUGGUGAUGAUGGUGAGGAUGGUGAGGAUGGUGAGGAUGGUGAGGAUGGUGAGGAUGAUGAUGGUGGUGAUGACAACGACGGUGAUGAGGAAGAAGAGUAGCAUGUUCAGAGCUCAGCCCUGCAUCCCCGCAUUCCACCACCUCCUCUCAGCCAAGCUUACCCACUCACAGGGACCAAUAGACCAGGUGACCCUGGGCUGAAGUAGGCAAAGUCCAAAUGCCCUUUAUCUCUCUGUUCAAUAAAGUAUGUGCAUCUAUGUG